GAUGAAGAACGUAGCGAAAUGCGAUACGUAAUGUGAAUUGCAAAUUCAGUGAAUCAUCGAGUCUUUGAACGCACAUUGCGCCCCCUGGUAUUCCGGGGGGCAUGCCUGUCCGAGCGUCAUUGCUGCCCUCAAGCACGGCUUGUGUGUUGGGCCCCGUCCUCCGAUCCCGGGGGACGGGCCCGAAAGGCAGCGGCGGCACCGCGUCCGGUCCUCGAGCGUAUGGGGCUUUGUCACCCGCUCUGUAGGCCCGGGCGGCGCUUGCCGAUCAACCCAAAUUUUUAUCCAGGUUGACCUCGGAUCAGGUAGGGAUACCCGCUGAACUUAAGCAUAUCAAUAAGCGGAGGA
Molecule: unclassified non-coding RNA, 345 nt
Filed under: soil metagenome
Description: partial contains 5.8S ribosomal RNA, internal transcribed spacer 2, and large subunit ribosomal RNA
Rfam family: 5.8S ribosomal RNA (bases 1-119)
Source: RNAcentral